UUGCUCUUGUCAGAUAAUAUGUAC
This 24-nucleotide non-coding RNA is filed under the name Arabidopsis thaliana (thale cress). Lineage: Eukaryota; Viridiplantae; Streptophyta; Magnoliopsida; Brassicales; Brassicaceae. The record is from RNAcentral.